Molecule: ribosomal RNA, 486 nt
Filed under: uncultured bacterium
Lineage: Bacteria
Description: bacterial SSU rRNA
Rfam family: Bacterial small subunit ribosomal RNA
Source: RNAcentral
CGAUUGAACGCUGGCGGCAUGCUUUACACAUGCAAGUCGAACGGUAACAGGUCUUUCGGGAUGCUGACGAGUGGCGAACGGGUGAGUAAUGUAUCGGAACGUGCCCAGUAGUGGGGGAUAACUACUCGAAAGAGUGGCUAAUACCGCAUGAGAUCUCUGGAUGAAAGCGGGGGACCGUAAGGCCUCGCGCUACUGGAGCGGCCGAUAUCAGAUUAGGUAGUUGGUAGGGUAAGAGCCUACCAAGCCAACGAUCUGUAGCUGGUCUGAGAGGACGACCAGCCACACUGGGACUGAGACACGGCCCAGACUCCUACGGGAGGCAGCAGUGGGGAAUUUUGGACAAUGGGCGCAAGCCUGAUCCAGCAAUGCCGCGUGCAGGACGAAGGCCUUCGGGUUGUAAACUGCUUUUGUACGGAACGAAAAGCCUCUGGUUAAUACCUAGGGGUCAUGACGGUACCGUAAGAAUAAGCACCGGCUAACUACGUG